RNAcentral lists this ribosomal RNA (466 nucleotides) under uncultured bacterium. RNAcentral's name for it is "partial 16S ribosomal RNA". It matches the Rfam family "Bacterial small subunit ribosomal RNA", at positions 28 to 507 of the family's 1533-position model. The record is from RNAcentral.
GACGAACGCUGGCGGCGUGCUUAACACAUGCAAGUCGAACGGAAAGGCCCUGCUUGCAGGGUACUCGAGUGGCGAACGGGUGAGUAACACGUGGGUGAUCUGCCCUGCACUUCGGGAUAAGCUUGGGAAACUGGGUCUAAUACCGGAUAGGAGCCAUCUUUAGUGUGGUGGUUGGAAAGUUUUUUCGGUGUAGGAUGAGCUCGCGGCCUAUCAGCGUGUUGGUGGGGUAAUGGCCUACCAAGGCGGCGACGGGUAGCCGGCCUGAGAGGGUGUACGGCCACAUUGGGACUGAGAUACGGCCCAGACUCCUACGGGAGGCAGCAGUGGGGAAUAUUGCACAAUGGGCGCAAGCCUGAGGCAGCGACGCCGCGUGGGGGAUGAAGGCCUUCGGGUUGUAAACUCCUUUCGCUAGGGACGAAGCUUUUUUGUGACGGUACCUAGAGAAGAAGCACCGGCUAACUACGUG